CAAUAGCGUAUAUUUAAGUUGUUGCAGUUAAAAAGCUCGUAGUUGGAUUUCGGGUGGGACGCAGCGGUCUCGCAUUGCGUUUGUACUGCUGCAGCCCUCCUUCUUGCCGGGGGCGGCCUCUCGGACUUCACUGUCUGGGGGUCAGAAUCGGCGAUGUUACUUUGAGUAAAUUAGAGUGUUCAAAGCAAGCUUACGCUCUGAAUAUAAUAGCAUGGGAUAACACGACAGGACUCUGGCCUAUCGUGUUGGUCUAUAGGACCAGAGUAAUGAUUAAGAGGGACAGUCGGGGGCAUUCGUAUUCCGUUGUCAGAGGUGAAAUUCUUGGACUUACGGAAGACGAACAUCUGCGAAAGCAUUUGCCAAGGAUGUUUUCAUUGA
This 378-nucleotide ribosomal RNA is filed under the name uncultured eukaryote. RNAcentral describes it as "partial 18S ribosomal RNA". It matches the Rfam family "Eukaryotic small subunit ribosomal RNA", at positions 592 to 976 of the family's 1831-position model. The record is from RNAcentral.